ACGCUCGACACCUACGGGAGGCAGCAGUGGGGAAGUAUUGCACAAUGGGGGAAACCCGUGAUGCAGCGAUGCCGCGUGAAGGAAGAAGAUUUUCGGAUUGUAAACUUCUAUCAGCAAGGAAGAAAACGGACAGUACUUGAGUAAGAAGCCCCGGCUAACUACGUGCCAGUAGCCGCGGUAAUCUGAGCGGGCGUGCGAAGGC
Molecule: ribosomal RNA, 202 nt
Filed under: uncultured bacterium
Lineage: Bacteria
Description: partial 16S ribosomal RNA
Rfam family: Bacterial small subunit ribosomal RNA
Source: RNAcentral